RNAcentral lists this ribosomal RNA (301 nucleotides) under uncultured bacterium. RNAcentral describes it as "partial 16S ribosomal RNA". It matches the Rfam family "Bacterial small subunit ribosomal RNA", at positions 509 to 807 of the family's 1533-position model. The record is from RNAcentral.
CAGCAGCCACGGGAAUACGUAGGGUGCAAGCGUUAAUCGGAAUUACUGGGCGUAAAGCGUGCGCAGGCGGUUAUAUAAGACAGAUGUGAAAUCCCCGGGCUCAACCUGGGAACUGCAUUUGUGACUGUAUAGCUAGAGUACGGCAGAGGGGGAUGGAAUUCCGCGUGUAGCAGUGAAAUGCGUAGAGAUCUGGAGGAAUACCGAUGGCGAAGGCAGCCCCCUGGGCCAAUACUGACGCUCAUGCACGAAAGCGUGGGGAGCAAACAGGAUUAGAUACCCCUGUAGUCCCUGUCUCUUAUAC